GCGGUAUGCCUUACACAUGCAAGUCGUACGAGAGUUUUUAACUCAAGUGGCGGACGGGUGAGUAAUAUAUAGGUAACGUGCCUUCGAGAAGGGGAUAACAAUUGGAAACGAUUGCUAAUACCCUAUAUGCCUUUAAGUCCUAAGACUGCAAGGGAAAUAUUUAUAGCUCGAAGAUCGGCCUGUACAGUAUCAGUUAGUUGGUGAGGUAAUGGCUCACCAAGACAAUGACGCUUAACUGGUUUGAGAGGAUGAUC
This 254-nucleotide ribosomal RNA is filed under the name uncultured bacterium. RNAcentral's name for it is "partial 16S ribosomal RNA". It matches the Rfam family "Bacterial small subunit ribosomal RNA", at positions 39 to 305 of the family's 1533-position model. The record is from RNAcentral.